Camelus dromedarius (Arabian camel) is the source of this 9915-nucleotide long non-coding RNA. RefSeq lists it as uncharacterized. Lineage: Eukaryota; Metazoa; Chordata; Mammalia; Artiodactyla; Camelidae. The record is from RefSeq and is a predicted model, not a curated record. The transcript has 3 exons.
GAGCCGUAGUGGAUAGGGAGGCUGGCCUAGCGUGCUAGUUUUGGAGGUCACAGCUGCGCGGGGCGCGGCUAGUGAGCGAGCGAGCUGUGAGAGGGGGGUCUUCCAGUGGUCGCUACCGUGAGCUCUGGUGCGACCCGUGGGUGUCCGAGAAGAAUCCCACUCCAGACCCCAAAAUCUGCCCCGGCCUAGGUCUGCCUCGAUGACUUUGUCUUGCACUUCUUUCUCUUCAGUUUUUCCUGGGGUCCCUUUGGCCCCUCCUCUGCCUCUUCCCGCUGAGAAAAGCCGAAUUUCGCAGAUUCUCAGCUCUGAGGAGAAAAUUUUGCCGGAAAUUAAAUCCUUCCUUCUGGUAGGCAGUAGGCGAUUAAUGGGAGUCACUUGGUGUCCUGACAAGAUAUGUUACUGUUUGCUGAGAUCGUCAUCUCUGAUACUUUGAGGGAGAUAACUUCUUGCAAACCUAGAACUUUCAGAUUACUACCGAGCUUGAAGUUUCACAGAUUCUACUUUGAAAAGCUUGUCUGAAUAAUUUAUGAACAGUGCUACGAAGUAACAUGCAUCUUGCCCCAGAUCCAAGUGUUGGCUUUUCUUAAUUCCCUUCAGCUGAAUAACUACAUCUGCGUACCACUAGGUUGUAAAAUAGAUGUAUAACUAAAAGAGCUAAACUGAAGAAAAAAAAAAUCAAGCAAAUACCCUCUUUUAGUUAACUUUUAAAUCUAACUCAAGCUCUGAUUAAAUCUAUUUACAUUAUAAUUUCUAUUUUUAGGAUUUUAAUCCUAGUCUUUUCCCUGUUUAAUCCCUAUUUUGAUUUCAAUGAGUAGAAAAUUCUAAGUCCUAGAAUAAUGUCACUGGGAGUUUUACAUCUGUUAGUGAAAGAAGACAGAUAAAGGAGGUCCAAAUCAGGUACCUGGAAACCUUGACUACCAAGGCAUGAAACCUGGGGUCAAGGUUUACCACAUCUAAGCUUGCCAGCGCAGAUGGACAAGUCCAAGUGCCAAGCAAAGAGGAUAAGCUUUCCAUGUGUAAAGUUGUUGUAACUUUGGGUGGAGUUUGCCUUGAAGUCUUAAUCUUGCUGUCUGAGUUAACAAAUACUACCAGAGCGCCUUGCCCAUCACCUUGAUCUAGGUCAAAAGUGUGGGUGGUAUGGAUGGUCAGUAUCGUCAGCUUCUUCACAGUGAACUGUCAAUACAUGAGCAUACGUAUUAGAGGCAGAGAGGUCCUCUUAAAUAUUGUUUGAUGAUGAUGCCAAGUGAAGUGCUUCAAUGAUUAUCAUAGGGAAACAAGCCUAAAAUAAUGCAGCACUGAUAUGAAUUACAGGUAGUCAGUCAUAAUGUGGUGCACUUAAUAACUAACUCAGUUUAGGGAUUAAAUACCACUUCUGAUGCCCCAAGUAGAGGCAUUAAACAGAAAAACACAGAAUAGUGGCAAACGAUACGGAUUUUUUUUUUUUUUUUUGCAGAUGUUCGGACCAUUGUUAAUUUAUUUCUAUUGGUAGGCUAAUGUCUUUGACUACUCUAUGACUAAUUGAAAACAUAAAUCAUAUUUACUUCAAUUUAUAUUGCCUCUCCCCCCAGUAUUCUUUCAUGUUUAUAAUAAGAUGUUUAGUAAUUUAAAAUCAUUUUUUGCUAAUCAAUGCUGUUAUUAUUUUCUAGUUUCUUUUUUCCCUGGUAUACUAUCUCUUAUGCUAGAGGUGUUUCUCUUACUACCUAGUCAGUUUAUCUUCAAGUAAUUAUUAGAUAUUCUGCUUUUUCUUAUUUUCCAUAUACAUUAAGUAUUUAGUUAGUAAAUAUUUGUAAAGUACCCACAUGGUGCCAGGCAAUAGGCCAAGUGCUAGGAAUAUAGUAACAGAUAAGGCAUACAUGGUCCCUGUUCUCAUGGAGCAGCUCAGAUGUUACAAUUUCUAUUUUUAAAUAAGCUUUUCAUUGGUGCUUUGUUAAUCAAGACUGUCAUUUCAUUUCUUAUUUAUUUAUACAAAAAUGAUACUGAAUAUCUGUAGUUUACCCAGCACUCUGUGAUAAUUGAGAACAUAGGUGUCAACAGUUAAAUUAUAGCACUGUGGUUAAAAUAAUGCAAUGGUGGCAUGAACUACGUGCACUGAAAAUAGAAAAGGCAAAUCAACAACUCGAGCUAGAGAAAUGAGGUAGAGCAUCCCAGAGAUGAUAUUCAAGCUGAAUUUUUAAAGAUUUAGUAGAAAGAGAAGAUGGAAGAAGACUUUUGAGGCUGAGGAAAGAGCAUUUGGAAAAAGAUGUGGAAUAAUGACAUGUUUAAUGUGGUAUUCUCUGUGAGAAGUUCACUGUAGUUCAUGUAUAAGGAAUAUAAAGUUCCAUAAAAGGAGUCUUUAAGUGGACUAGAGCCAGUCUGGGAAAGGUGUUGCUCGUGACUGCCUUGGCACGCUGAAGACUCAGUGCACGCAUUCUGUUAACUUAAGGGAUUAAUGAGGAAGGGUGGAAAAUGUUCACAUAACUGUGUUUCACUUCCUGCUAAUUGCUCGCAGACUUCACCGGGUAUUGCUUUCUGAGUAGCUGAAUAUUUCUACAGCCCAUGGCUUUUACCUCUCCGUACAAUAUUUAAAUACUGUUUCAGUUAAAAAGCUUUUCUACAAACUGAAUAAAAUUCGGAAAAACUUGACAUUCUGAAAUUAGAUUUACCUCACUAAAAUAUUGUUGGAAUUUAAAAGGUCAUAUUCAUUUUAUACAACUAAUCCUUUAUUUAGUUCUCCUGUUAUAUUCCUAUUUAUGAUUACUUAUGUUUUUUAUUGGAAAGCAUAAAAAUAUUUUGAAAGUAAAAUGGUAAAAUUAUGAAAUAUUUUUAUCUUAAUUACAAAACAAUACUUAGUUUCUUCAAGCUUUUUCUCUGUUUUUAAAAAUCAACUGUCUCUUUUGAAGAGAUUUUACCACACACAUAGAUUCAAAAGCAAGGGAAAAUAGUUUAAAAUACUGUUGAACUAAAUAAAGCCAAGGAAUCUUAAACCAAUGGUUUAUUUGUAUAGGAGGGAUCGAGUCAAUACUUACCCAUUCUUGAAAAGGAAAAUCUGAAAGUGGAAGAUUUGUAUAAGCCUUUCCUUAAUUUCAAGAAGCAUGUAUUUAGGAUUUACUUUAUGUCAGACUACAUUUUAGUCACUGGAAAUAUAAAAAUGAAUAGUACAGUCCUUUCUCUCAAUGGAAUUGUGAUCCAAUGAAAUGUUAAGUUCAACCCCCUAAAGUUGCAUCAAUUUUUCAGGUCAAAAAUGGUCAAAUAUCAGUUCUGCCUAAAUAUAUAUGUAAAGAGAAAUUUGCAAUAAUAGAGAUAUGAAGAAGGUGCUACGUGCCCUGAAAAAGUGCUUUGUGCUGCCUAGAGGAGUCUGUGUAGAUUUUCCAGAGGAGAUGACAUUUGAGCUGAGUUUCAGAAAAUGACUGGGUGUUCACCAUGUGUUCAUGGGAAGCAAAGAGAGUGAGCACAUUCCAGCAAUAGGAAACAGGAUGUGCAGAGUUUUUGAACCAAGAAAGAGCCUAGCAUAUGUGGGAAACUGCAAGUAUUUCAUAUUGGUUGGAAUGCUGGGUAUGCUGUGGGUGACAGGAGAAGAGGCAGGCAAAGUAAGCAGAGGACAGAUCGUGUGAGGUGGGAUAUAUCAAGCCAAAGAGUUUGAUUUUAUCCUUUGUGAUGAGAUGGGUAUAAUCCACAGUAUGCAAGGCAAUCUGUUAGGGUUCAGAAAGAAAAUAUUACUACUCCUCUGUAUAUUUACCUUUGUCUUGUCUUUUUAAAUUUUCUAAUUGUGUAAGGAUUACAGUGUAUAUAAUUCUUAACUGCAGUAGUGGGUAUAAGUAAUUUAUAAAUAAAUAAAUAUAUGUGUAUUAUGGUGCCGUAUGGGUUGAAUUGCAUCCCUCCACAGAAUUUAUGUUGAAAUGUUAACCUCAGGUGUUUCAGAAUGUGACCCUAACUGAAAACAGAGUCAUUGCAGAUGUAGUUAGUUAACAUGAGGUUGUACUGGAGUAGAGUUGGACCCUAAUCCAGUAUGACAGGUGUCCUUAUAAAAAGGCAAACAUGACAUCAAGAUGAAGGUAGACAUUGAGGUAAUGCUCCUCUAAGCCAGGGAACUCCAAGAUUGCCAGUCUUCUGUUAGGAGCUAGAGGAGAAGCAUGGGACAGAUCCCUCUCUUACAGCCCUCAGAGGGAACUAUCCAUGCUGACACCUUGAUCUUGGACUCCCAGUCUCCCAAACUGUGAGACAUAAUACUCUGUUGUUUAAGCCACCUAGUUUGUGGUACUUUGUCACAACAGUCCUAGAGAACGAAUGCAUGGUACAUGAUCAGAAAGUUUGGAAACCCUGAUCAGAUGAUAAGGAACAAAGGAAGAGUUGGUUUGUGUUUUAGUCAAAACUAUUUAUCUCCUGUCAUUAUUGAGUCUCAAUAUUCAGUGAUUUACUUUAGCUUAAUUUCUUGCCUUUACAGUACUUUACUUCUUAAAAACAUAGUUUGAAAACAAAUUGUUCACAUUUGUGUAUAGUAUAGUUUGUGUUAAAGGAAGGAGAAAUUAGAAAAUAUUUACCUUUAGCUUAAAACAGACAGGGUGAUAAUAUGUAACACUUUGGGGGGAAAAUUACAUUUAAGAAAGAGUAUUUUUUCUGGGUUUUUUUUUUUUUUUCCUUUUCUUUUUGAAAAAAGAGUAUCACUUAACCCCAUUAGGCAGAAGUGGAACUAAAAUCAGAAACAGAGUCCUAUCAACAGAAGUCAUAGCUGUGAAGAAUUUAAUAGUAUAUCAUCAGUGUAGGGAGGACUGUAGGCAAAAUAUGUAUUAUUCUAGCUACAUAGUUUUCAAGUAUUAAGGGCAACCAGUCCUUUUUAUAGAAGUUAUAUGUUAGUCAUUUGUCUGAGGUUCCAAAACAAAAUGAUCGAGAGAGUUUUCAACGCCAGCAAUGAUAUCCUACCUCAGAUGUAUAUAUUUGAAGCGUAUUUUUAAGUCUGCAAAAUCUACAAGUCAGUAAUACAUUAUUUAAUUAAUAAUAUUAAUAUAAAGUAUAUUUUAUGUAUUAUAUUUGGGGCAUUUUAGAUCUUUGUGGGCCAUGGAAUAGUUGAUAAUUUUUGGCCUUAUUUAUGCAAAUCAAAAGAAGCAUUUUGAAAUAUCACCACUUUAAAAAAAAAAAUCCAUGUGUAUUUGUAAUAGUUCUGCCAUCAACUAGACAAGUAGUUUUCAGACUUUUUAAAGUAAGAGAAUCCUUUCUUCAAAUGAAUUCUUACGUGGAAGCCAAGUAUGUAAUAACUACAUUAGGCAGCUUACUCCAUCAUAGAGGACUAUAUACCCUUGAUGUUUUAAAUCUUUGUUUCUUAUAUCUAGUCUGGAAGUUCUAUAUUUUGUGGAUGUAUAUUCUGUCUUCACUGUGUAAUAUGUUAGCAGAAUGAACAGGAAUUUACACGAUAUGGGAAUAAUAAAUAUCCCACUGACCUGUGAUACUAGGGCCUAUACUUGGAGUUGCUUUCCCACAGUGGAAUUGGAUUUAUAAGAAUCCAUCCAUCAUCUUUAAUGUGGUCCCCUUUGUGACCGACACAGCAGUCUGUGACCUAGAGCUAGCUACUUGGCCAAGAAUGUAAUAUCUACUAUUCUCAUGACUUCUUCCCUUUUUCUGCCCUUACCUCUGUUCUUUUAGCAGUUUCUAUUUUUGCUCUGUUCACUUAACUACACCUUUGCUACCUUUGGACUCUAAUAAACUCAAAAACCGGUUUGUCCAGUUUCAUACGUGGUUAUUUUUUUCCCUCACCUAUGACUUACAGUCAUAUUGCUGUAAAGCUGAUAAAUAUUUGGAACUAUAUAUACUUUUUAUAUGCUUAGAUUAUUAUUAAAAAAAUAGCACUACAUGGGGAGGGGAUAGCAGUGGACUCAGAAUUAAGAGUUUUUGCAUUCAUGGCAUUUAUUAGAUGGCUUGUAUUUCUAAGAUCAAGAUAUGUCAGGUGCCAAUCUGACAGCCCAUACAUCACAAUUUAGAGACUUCUACCUUCCUGAAAUAUACAUUUAAAAGAAUGUAAAUAACAGACUAUUCAGAUAAUUGAUUGUCAGUGAAUCUUUUCAAUAAAAAUAUAAUCAGAGUCUUUAUUCUUUUAGCAAAUAUUUAUUGAGCCCCUACCAUGUGCUAACAGUCAUUAUGGUAAGUUUUAGGUAUACAGUGGCAAACUAAGUGAAUAUGACCCCAGCCUUACAGAAUAGAUGUAUUACACCAAAAAAAUCUGUGUGUGUGUGUGUGUAUAUAUCUAUAUAUAUAUGCUGGUAUGAGUUAUGAAGCAAAUAAACAGUUCUGCAGCAGGAGUAGAAGAAACUUUUAAAUAGAACAGUCAGAAAAGGAAUAGAAAGUGAAAAGAAAAGCAUUCUAGUCAGAGAAUAGCUUGUGCAGAGGCCCUGAGACAGAACAAGGUAGCUGGGCUUAUUCAAGGAACAAAUAGAAUAUUGAGUUUCUUGAGGAAAAGAUUAUUCUUUUUUGUCUAGAACAAUGUACUUUAAAUAAUAAGCACUAUAGAAAUAUUUGUGUAUAACUGAAUGACUAUCUGUAUACCUAGGAUGUAGUGAGUACAAGCUGAGGUUGCAAGGACUAGACUAUGCCAAGCCCUAUUAAAAAAAACCUCUGGGAUGUAAUUUACUUUUUAUAAAGCUCACUCACAAUUAUGUGAGGAAUUGUUUGAUGGAGAUCAAAAAUGGAAGAAGGGAAACCCAGGUUCAUGGUACCGUAGAGGUUGAGAUCAAGAAAUCACUAAAUGACUGUUAGAGCCAGGGUCAGUGGGUUUAACGUCCUGCCCAUUUCACCUCUUGAACAGCUUAGUGAAGUGAAUGUAUCUGAUUUAUAUUUGCACCCCCUAGGACAACCACAGCCCCUCGACCCCCAGACCAAGCCUAGAAAGAAAUUAACCUUUGGCUAAGAAUUCAAUCAAACCCUUUGAAAGUAAUUUCACAGUUUCUCCUGGGUCUUUGUAUUAUUGAGGGAGUGACCGUGUUAAAUGAAGUAACAGGGAAUAUCAAGAAUGUGGAUUAUUCUACAAGAUAACUGAUGACUUGGUCUUGUUAAAAAAAAAAAGUCCAUGCCAUGGGGGAGAAAAAGGAAAAGAAACAUUCUGGUUAUCUGCUGCAGUUAUGCCCACUGAGUGUCUCUUCUGAAGAGGUUUUACCACACAUACAAAAGCAAAAGCAAGGGAAAAUCUUUUUUUAAAAUAUGGUUAUGCUCAGUAAAGCAUGAAACUUACACUAGUGGUUAUUCUUUAGAAGGCUUGCCCCUCUCACACCUCCUUUGGCACUGUUUGUGAGGGAAUAAGCUUCUUUUGUGGAGCUUCUAACCAUAGUUCUAGGCAGAGACCAGCAGAAUUGUACCUAGAGAUUGGCAGAGAAGUGUCUGGGAAGCUACAGAGUGAUCACUUGGUGGAUAAUUCAGAGGAACAUUCAGACGAAACCCCUUUUCACAGCAUAUACUAAAAAUAACCUUGAGUGCAGCUGCAAGGCUGACGGUUGUUUUACAGCAUUGAUGAGCACGUAGGUUCUCAGUGAAUGGGGAUUUGCUACCUCACAGAAUAGCCUUUUCUACUUGAAUUGCCCUAGUUGAUAGAAACUUUUUUUUCACUGAGCUAAACAGUCUCGCUCUUAUUCCUACCCAUUGUAUGUAGUUUUACUCUCAAGAACCUUAAGGCUAAUCCACUUUGUUGGAAUUUUAAGAUUUAAUGUAUUUUGGAAUGGCUGCCUGCAAUGCUUUUAAUCUUUUAAUCUGUUGCAAGAGAACAUGGGACAGUGGCAAGAGUUAAAUUUAUUAGAUGGAGUAUACAAAGUGCCCCAUGUGAAGGCAAGUUUUGUCUUGAUGUGCCAGUCACUACAGCCUUUUUAACGAGACAGCUCAGUCUGCACCUGCACAACUGCCCGAUUUAUUCUCCUGGAUCUUAAAGAAACCCCAGCUCCAGGUGGGCAGGCCUCUGCUGGAGUAAAUACAAUAAUAACCAAAAAUAAUUAAAAGCCAGACACUGCCCUCCCCCAUUCGUAAGCCAUCUACAUAACUGGUAGAAUAGGAUCAAGAUACUCCUUUUGAGUUCUAGGAUACUCAUUCUUUCACUACCUUGCUCUUGAUGACCUGAUGCUUCCCAUUCCUGAGGUAAUGCCAGGUUCUGCAGAAAGGAAUGGCUGUCCCCUCGGCCACGCUCUCCUCUCCGCAUAUUCGGUACCGCACUGUCCUGUGCCCUCUUUCUUCAGUAACUCUUCCUCUACUAGUUUUCCUCUUUCCAGAAAUGUAAUCUCUUCGCCAGGGGUGGCCUCCCUGUCAUUCUCUUCAGGUUGUGGUUCUAUAAAUGUUUUGUUAUUGUUGUUUCAGGGCCUCUUGGGGGAGAAGAGAGAAAUACGCACUGUCGGUCAGCCAACUUGAACCAGAAUAGUAGUUAAAAUCAUUUUGUAAUAUAACUAAAUCAUACCAAUGUUUUUUUUUAACAAUUCAGUUAUUUUUUGUAUAUUCACAAAGUUGUGCAACCAUCACCACAAUCUAAUUGCAGAACAUUUUCAUCACGCCAGAGAAGACACAUACCAUUAGCAGUCACCCUCUAUUUCCUCUACUCUCCUGCCAGCCCUAGUCAAUCAUUAAUCUGCUUUGUCUCUAUAGAUUUUUCAUUACUGCCACUUGUUGAGGGGACAGGUGCAGAUAGGGAGAAAGGUGAUUUCUGAUCUGGAGGUGAGCCUCUGCUUUUGAUCUCUGCUUGAACCAUCCAGAAUUUGAAGUUAAAGCUCCUUGCUUCUUUGAAGAAGAUUAAUUUUCUUCAACCAUCUUUGCUCCAAAAAUAUUCACAGACAAUAUCUAUAAACAUAUACGCACACCCCUCCCUAAAUUUAAUCUUUUUUCCAUAACUUUAAUCUUAUUUCUUGGGAAUGACUAACCCUAGUAUACACACACGUGCACACACCCACUUUGCCCCGAUUUAUAUUUUACAUGCUUCUUGUCUAAUCUGACAAUGAACGACACCAUGCCUCAAACACUUUCCCCUAAUUCCCGAAUUCCUAGGUUUUUCCGAGCAGGCUGCCAUACCUGUAUCUUGCUGAUUUUACAUAAGGUAUCCAAAAUACUAAGUGACAGUGAAAGGUGGGAGACAGUAGAAUAAACCAUGGGGAAUGAUGUGGAAGAAAUACCCACUUUGCCAUGUGUACAGCAGGAAGUGAACUUAGGAGACUACGAGGGGUGGCAGGUCAGUGUGGGAAGGCUCUUCAGUGAGUACUUUUUCCAACCAGGGCAUCUGGGCCUCCCCAGCAACCCCACCCCUCAGGAGUGGUCUUUUGUGAUGUGUAAGCCCCCCACAGCCACCAUUGGUUGUAGGGAGUGCCCUGCUGACCAAACAAAGCAAAAUGGGCGUGACUCCUCACUGUCCUGGGGAGAGGUAUAUAUACCGAAGGCGGGCCUGGCAGACAGGUAGACAACUGAGAGGCUUCAACAUGGCAAAAGUGACCGAGAAAUCAUGGGAGCCACAAACCACAAGCACCAAGCGUUGGAAGAAGAGGAAGUCCACCUCUCAGCCUGGAUCAAGAGGCAAGGUGCUGAAGAUAUAUAAGAAGGUAAAAAGACCACUCCAUGUGAGUUCAAGAAAAAAAUACUCUACUAAAGUUAUAACUACUUCAAGAAAGCAGAAGAGAGCGAGAAGGGGCAAGUUUCAGCCAAUCCUGUAGACUGAGCCAGAAGCAGCCAGGCCAGGUCCAGCGGUCUCUGUAGAACUAUACACCACUUUGAGAUAAGACUCAAGCAAAGAGCACCUGCAGAGCAAGCUUCACAGACUUCAGACAAUCUGCCGUAUCUAAAAUCCUGGCUGCGGAGAGAUGGCCAACUGCAUAGAGACUGGCUCAGACACUGAUGUCGAACAUGGAACACAAAUGGUGGUUAUUUAAAAACAAAAACAAGGUGUAAGAAGCCCCUUGAAAAAAAUGAAAUAAAAUUAGGCACUCUGCACAGAAA